Molecule: long non-coding RNA, 1866 nt
Organism: Mustela putorius furo (domestic ferret)
Lineage: Eukaryota; Metazoa; Chordata; Mammalia; Carnivora; Mustelidae
Source: Ensembl
UGACAGUCCUCAGCAGCACUGGGGACAUUUACUGAUAAAGAAGUAGGAAGAGGGGACAAAGCCUCUGGGGCUGAAGCUCCUCCCCACAGUGUUCAGAAGUGCUGCUUUGUUUGGAUUUCUGUUUCCCCUCCCUGUACUACCUCUGGGAGCUCAGGGACAGCCAGAGGCUUAAAGGGAACUUUGUAGUGAAAGGAACGGAACACUGGCCUGAGUCAGAAUCUCUAGUUCCAUGCCUUGUAGCUGCCACUCACUCACUUUAUGACCUCAAGGAAACCUCAAUUCCCAUCUGUAACAGACAUCAAAAGAAGUGCUCAGAGCUGCCUUGAAGUUCCCCAAGUUCACUCUCCUCUCAGGACAGAGCUUCACCCUUCACCCACAGGCGGUCCCUGGUGUGUGUACUCACAGAAUGACGUGGCCCCCGAGCAGUUUCCCGUGACCUUCAUUGCUCCUGCAAGGCCCAUACCAGAUGCAGCUUUGAACGUCAGAAAUGACUUUGUUGAAAUGACUAGUGUACACAUCUGCUUGUUAAGGAUGAGACAUCCAUGAGACUCAAUCUCCUAUCGCAGAGUACCAGCUCUCUCCAUAUCUGAAAUAUGUUUUUGUUAUACUAUCCUUGAAUUGUGUUCUGUUUGUUUGUUUUAUUUUCUGUUCUAGCCUGUGCUUUCAUCUUUGUUUUAUAUUUGCAGUUUGAAUUUGAGUUCAAGGUACUCCAUACUCAUCUCUGAUUAGAAUACAAUAAGAUUUUUUAAAAAGAUUUUACUUAUUUUUGAGAGAGAGAGAAAAAGAGAGAGCACGAGCAGGGGAAGGGGCAGAGGGAGAAGUAGACUCCCCUCUGAUCAGGGAGCCCGAUUCAGGGCUCCCUCCGAGGACCCUUAGGUCAUGAUCUGAGCCAAAGGCAGACGCUUAACUGACUGAGCCACCCAGGCGGCCUGGGAUACAAUGAAAUUUAAAUCUAAAAAAAAAAAAAAAAAAGAAAAUUAAUUUUAGAGAAAAUAAAGAAUAAAAAGGUGCUGCCAUAUAAUCUAGGAUAGUACAAGUAAGUCCACAUUUAUGCUUACCGUAUAAAUACCUCUUUAACCCUAGAGAUUCUAGAGUUUGUGAGAGAAAGAAUCAGCAGGGCUGAACGAGUUUCAAGUUGAAAACUAAGUGCUGUUGCUGAGUCCUUCAGCUGACAACCUCUGGGCACCCUCUGUGGUCAUCAUUGUUCUCUUCCCUGCCCACAAGGCUUAUUUUCCACCUCACACCCUGUAAACCACCUGCCUUCCUUUCCACAGCUGUGAGCUGCCCUCCAUUCAGACCUGCCUCCUUCAAAAUACUCCAGAAAAUAGGGAAGCAUUUCUAAGGCUCUCCAUUCAGAGAAGCAGCAGAAGAGUUCAAUAGUUGUUUACUAGCCUUUCUUGUUUUCAUUCCUCAUGUGUCGAAUAUAUUUUUCACAGUUUGGUUAGCUAAUGUUUCAAUGAUCUAUUCUUGAAUAAGUUCUGUGAGUUAGCAGUUCUCACCAGGGGCCUCUCAUGGAAUUGCAGUCGGGUGGUAUGUGAGCUGGACUCCUGUGAGGGCUCACCUGGUCUGUAAGUCCAGGAUGCCUACUUCCUGUGUGUUUGCUGCCUCCGUGGGGGGGCCAACUGGCACCUGUCUUCCGGCUGCUUUCCCAAGGGACCGGUAUACAUUUCCUCAUAAGAAAGCCUUUCAGGGCAGUUGGGCUUCUCCCACGGCAAGCAUUCCAAGAAGCUCAGGUGGAAACUGCACCGCUUCUUAGGAACUAAGCGUUAGAAAUCACCACAGCUUCGCUUCUAGUGCAUUCCAGGGUAAGGGGCAGCAGGGGCUAAAAAUGGGAGUUUCGCUCUCAGUGAGGAUGGUAGAAGUUGG